Molecule: non-coding RNA, 73 nt
Organism: Flagelloscypha sp. PMI_526
Lineage: Eukaryota; Fungi; Basidiomycota; Agaricomycetes; Agaricales; Niaceae
Source: the annotation of a GenBank genome assembly
AGGCGUAUGUUCUAGUGGUUAUGAUUCCUGUCUCACACACAGGAGGUCCCCGGUUCGACCCCGGGUACGCCUA